GAUGAACGCUGGCGGCGUGCCUAAUACAUGCAAGUCGAGCGAACGGACGAGAAGCUUGCUUCUCUGAUGUUAGCGGCGGACGGGUGAGUAACACGUGGAUAACCUACCUAUAAGACUGGGAUAACUUCGGGAAACCGGAGCUGAUACCGGAUAAUAUUUUGAACCGCAUGGUUCAAAAGUGAAAGACGGUCUUGCUGUCACUUAUAGAUGGAUCCGCGCUGCAUUAGCUAGUUGGUAAGGUAACGGCUUACCAAGGCAACGAUGCAUAGCCGACCUGAGAGGGUGAUCGGCCACACUGGAACUGAGACACGGUCCAGACUCCUACGGGAGGCAGCAGUAGGGAAUCUUCCGCAAAGGGCGAAAGCCUGACGGAGCAACGCCGCGUGAGUGAUGAAGGUCUUCGGAUCGUAAAACUCUGUUAUUAGGGAAGAACAUAUGUGUAAGUAACUGUGCACAUCUUGACGGUACCUAAUCAGAAAGCCACGGCUAACUACGUG
RNAcentral lists this ribosomal RNA (497 nucleotides) under uncultured bacterium. RNAcentral's name for it is "partial 16S ribosomal RNA". It matches the Rfam family "Bacterial small subunit ribosomal RNA", at positions 28 to 507 of the family's 1533-position model. The record is from RNAcentral.